Molecule: ribosomal RNA, 465 nt
Filed under: Vreelandella stevensii
Lineage: Bacteria; Pseudomonadati; Pseudomonadota; Gammaproteobacteria; Oceanospirillales; Halomonadaceae
Description: partial 16S ribosomal RNA
Rfam family: Bacterial small subunit ribosomal RNA
Source: RNAcentral
CCUACGGGCGGCAGCAGUGGGGAAUAUUGGACAAUGGGCGAAAGCCUGAUCCAGCCAUGCCGCGUGUGUGAAGAAGGCCUUCGGGUUGUAAAGCACUUUCAGUGGGGAAGAAAGCCUUGGGGCUAAUACCCUCGAGGAAGGACAUCACCCACAGAAGAAGCACCGGCUAACUCCGUGCCAGCAGCCGCGGUAAUACGGAGGGUGCGAGCGUUAAUCGGAAUUACUGGGCGUAAAGCGCGCGUAGGCGGUCUGAUAAGCCGGUUGUGAAAGCCCCGGGCUCAACCUGGGAACGGCAUCCGGAACUGUCAGGCUAGAGUGCAGGAGAGGAAGGUAGAAUUCCCGGUGUAGCGGUGAAAUGCGUAGAGAUCGGGAGGAAUACCAGUGGCGAAGGCGGCCUUCUGGACUGUCACUGACGCUGAGGUGCGAAAGCGUGGGUAGCAAACAGGAUUAGAUACCCUUGUAGUC